Molecule: ribosomal RNA, 162 nt
Filed under: Gyrodactylus jiroveci
Lineage: Eukaryota; Metazoa; Platyhelminthes; Monogenea; Gyrodactylidea; Gyrodactylidae
Description: 5.8S ribosomal RNA
Rfam family: 5.8S ribosomal RNA
About the family: 5.8S ribosomal RNA (5.8S rRNA) is a component of the large subunit of the eukaryotic ribosome.
Source: RNAcentral
CAACUCCAUGUGGUGGAUCACUCGGCUCACGUAACGAUGAAGAGUGCAGCAAACUGUGUUACCAAUGUGAAACGCAAACUGCUCCGAUCAUCGGUCUCUCGAACGCAAAUGGCGGCUAAGGGCUUGCUCUUAGCCACGUUCGAUCGAGUGUCGGCUUUUACC